This 429-nucleotide ribosomal RNA is filed under the name Chloroflexota bacterium. RNAcentral describes it as "Chloroflexi bacterium partial 16S ribosomal RNA". It matches the Rfam family "Bacterial small subunit ribosomal RNA", at positions 355 to 776 of the family's 1533-position model. Lineage: Bacteria; Bacillati; Chloroflexota. The record is from RNAcentral.
UGGGGAAUAUUGCACAAUGGGCGCAAGCCUGAUGCAGCCAUGCCGCGUGUGUGAAGAAGGCCUUCGGGUUGUAAAGCACUUUCAGCGGGGAGGCAGGCGAUAAGGUUAAUAACCUCAUCGAUUGACGUUACCCGCAGAAGAAGCACCGGCUAACUCCGUGCCAGCAGCCGCGGUAAUACGGAGGGUGCAAGCGUUAAUCGGAAUUACUGGGCGUAAAGCGCACGCAGGCGGUCUGUCAAGUCGGAUGUGAAAUCCCCGGGCUCAACCUGGGAACUGCAUUCGAAACGGGCAGGCUAGAGUCUUGUAGAGGGGGGUAGAAUUCCAGGUGUAGCGGUGAAGUGCGUAGAGAUCUGGAGGAAUACCGGUGGCGAAGGCGGCCCCCUGGACAAAGACUGACGCUCAGGUGCGAAAGCGUGGGGAGCAAACAGG